RNAcentral lists this unclassified non-coding RNA (298 nucleotides) under Hevea brasiliensis (rubber tree). Lineage: Eukaryota; Viridiplantae; Streptophyta; Magnoliopsida; Malpighiales; Euphorbiaceae. The record is from RNAcentral.
CAAACACAAUCUCAAAAUCCACACCUCUCAGGGGGCACUCCUGUCAGAUCAUACAAUUGGCACUUGAAAACAUAGGGGGGCAGGCUUGUAUCGAUCUCCACCUUUGGAAAGACCUCCUUUUGCCAUUUUACAUUCACUUUUAGCAUGAUUGAUAGGUGUUUGGAGAGAUCGACAGAGAGAAUGAGAGGUGUGGAUUUUGAGAUUGUGUUUGUGCUUUUGCCUUGCUUGAGGUUGAGGAAAAGAAACACAGAGCUUUGAGAGUUCUUGCAGUCGUACGAAUUCGAUUUUAAGCUUUGUA